Neofelis nebulosa (Clouded leopard) is the source of this 189-nucleotide long non-coding RNA. RefSeq lists it as uncharacterized. The record is from RefSeq and is a predicted model, not a curated record. The transcript is spliced from 2 exons. Lineage: Eukaryota; Metazoa; Chordata; Mammalia; Carnivora; Felidae.
GAGGAGGGAGUGAAGGACGGAUGUCCAGGAGGUGCAGACUGGGCAAAGGCCGAAGGAGGAGGGAAUGUGACAACAGGACCCGGUCUGACCUGCUCCCUCUGUACCUGGGAAGUCAGCUGAAGGCCCACCGGUACCCACGGGAUGGUGGGCAAAACACCUGUCCUGAUGGACCACGGGCAGGGACGGGGG